RNAcentral lists this small RNA (84 nucleotides) under Salix viminalis (osier). Lineage: Eukaryota; Viridiplantae; Streptophyta; Magnoliopsida; Malpighiales; Salicaceae. The record is from RNAcentral.
AGGAUGGCGAUGAGAAAAAGUAAGCAUACCAGCAGAACAUAGUGAGAAGCUCUGAUCUUUGUUAUUGAUUUAUUGGCAUGUCCU